Non-coding RNA from Pelobates cultripes (western spadefoot toad), 295 nucleotides. The record is from the annotation of a GenBank genome assembly. Lineage: Eukaryota; Metazoa; Chordata; Amphibia; Anura; Pelobatidae.
CUAAUCUGAAAAAAACAUUUCUGAAAUAUGCUUUGUGUACAAAGACAUAGUCAUACUACAACAAAAAAGCCUUGUCUUAAACUCCUUAUUACAAAUUUGGAAUCACACAAUCAAGUAGAAUGUCAUUGUAUAUGGUAACAUUAAGAUGUAACUCCCUUGAAUUAAUGGGCCUAGAAAAAAUAGACCAUUAUUACUCUUCAAAGGAAUUUACAGUUGGCAAUUUGCAGUCAAGCAGGUAGUGUUCUUGUGGAAUCUGAAAUAACCCACAACCACUAGAAUACCUUAUUUGUCUGUG